Non-coding RNA from Rhea pennata, 72 nucleotides. Lineage: Eukaryota; Metazoa; Chordata; Aves; Rheiformes; Rheidae. The record is from the annotation of a RefSeq genome assembly.
GGGGAUGUAGCUCAGUGGGAGAGCACUUGCUUUCCUUGUAAGAAGCCCUGGGUUCAAGCCCCAGCAUCUCCA